RNAcentral lists this ribosomal RNA (253 nucleotides) under uncultured bacterium. RNAcentral's name for it is "partial 16S ribosomal RNA". It matches the Rfam family "Bacterial small subunit ribosomal RNA", at positions 524 to 776 of the family's 1533-position model. The record is from RNAcentral.
UACGUAGGCAGCAAACGUUGUUCGGAAUUACUGGGCGUAAAGAGUGUGUAGGCGGUUUCGUAAGUUUGGUGUGAAAUCUCCCGGCUUAACUGGGAGGGUGCGCCGAAAACUGCGAGGCUUGAGUACUGGAGAGGAGAGCGGAAUUCCUGGUGUAGCGGUGAAAUGCGUAGAUAUCUGAAGGAACAUCAGUGGCGAAAGCGACUUCCUGGACCAAUACUGACGCUCAGGUGCGAAAGCGUGGGGAGCAAACAGG